GGAUGCGAUCAUACCAGCACUAAAGCACCGGAUCCCAUCAGAACUCCGAAGUUAAGCGUGCUUGGGCGAGAGUAGUACUAGGAUGGGUGACCUCGUGGGAAGUCCUUGUGUUGCAUUCC
RNAcentral lists this ribosomal RNA (119 nucleotides) under Triticum dicoccoides. Lineage: Eukaryota; Viridiplantae; Streptophyta; Magnoliopsida; Poales; Poaceae. The record is from RNAcentral.